CACCACAUGGACAUCUUUUGGCCGAGGAAGUUAUGGAGGACUCGCCUAAGAAAAAGGGAGAGAAGCCACCACCGAAGCACAAGCCACCACAUGGACAUCUUUUGGCCGAGGAAGAGGUCGAGGACUCACACAAAGGGAAGGGAGAGAAGCCACCACCAAAGCACAAGCCACCACAUGGACAUCUUUUGGCCGAGGAAGAAGUUGAGGACUCACACAAGGGAAAGGGAGAGAAGCCACCACCAAAACACAAGCCUCCGCAUGGACAUCUUUUAGCUGAAGAAAAAGUUGAGGACUCACACAAGGGAAAAGGAGAGAAGCCACCACCAAAACACAAGCCCCCGAAUGGACAUCUUUUAGCUGAAGAAGAAGUUGAUGACUCACACAAAGGAAAGGGAGAGAAGCCACCACCAAAGCACAAGCCACCACAUGGACAUCUUUUGGCCGAGGAAGAGGUCGAGGACUCAUACAAAGGAAAGGGAGAGAAACCACCACCAAAACACAAACCUCCACAUGGACAUCUUUUAGCCGAGGAAGAAGUUGAGGACUCACACAAGGGAAAGGGAGAGAAACCACCACCAAAACACAAGCCCCCACAUGGACAUCUUUUAGCCGAGGAAGAAGUUGAUGACUCGCACAAGGGAAAGGGAGAAAAGCCACCACCAAAACACAAGCCACCUCACGGGCACUUAUUAGUUGAAGAGGUUGAAGACUCACACAAGGGGAAAGGAGAAAAACCACCGCCAAAGCACAAACCACCUCAUGGACACCUUUUAGCUGAAGAGGCCAACGACUCUCACAAAGGAAAGGGAGAGAAGCCACCAUGCAAGUCUCCUCACAAACCCCCAUCAGCCAACUAAGUGCCUUACGCUAAUUUCGCUAGAUGCUUAAAAAUAAGAAACAGAAGUAGUUUACUCUUCUGUUGGUUUCUGUAUCUGCAUUUUUCACUGAAUUAGUAUUUGUACUUUGGCUUGUAUUAUAUGAGUACUACCCUCUAGUUGGCUGUUUUAUGUAGAUUAUGGUUUUAUGUUCUAGUGCUGCGCGUAUUAUUUCAGUUGACUUAACUUUUAUUUGCAAAAUAUACAGCAAGACAUGCACACAAUCCUAGUACGUAGUUUUGCCACAUGCAUAUAUUUGGUGGUAGGAUAUUGUCAACGACAACAACGUUUAAUUACUUUAACUUAAACACGUGCUGAUGAUUUUUUUUUUUGUAAAAGCCCUUUAUUAGUAAACUAGUAUUACUCUGACAUCAACAGAUAUACCAUAGGUUUUGUCUAAAACUUGAAGGUUUCUGUAGUUUAAUUUGGUAAGUAAAAUUUUUUGUGUGUAGCACAUAAUGAAUAUGUUACUUACAUGUGUAGAUUUAUAUUUUACAUUUUAUUUUAAUAUUAGAUAAUUAAUAUAUAUAUAUUUAAUUAUUUAAAUUUAUAUAUAUUACUAAUUUAUUAAUUUAGUCUAUAUAUAUAUAUGAUAUACAUUUAAGUUAAAUUAGGUAAGAAGUUAUUAAGUACUUCCAAAUUAAUAUGAAAUAAUUCUCUAAAGGAAAUGAAUCAACUCUUGGAAAAUGUCGGGAGAAAAGAUUUCAAAUUUCUGCAUGUCUCUGUUUCUGCUCAGUGGAUGUCUCUGUUUCUGCUUGCUGCCUAUGUUGCAAUAUUUAUUUGGCUUUUUAUUCCUGGUAAAUUUCUUAUUUUCCUCUUAAUUUUGACUAGGCCGGCUGAUUCGGGAGUAAGAUUUAAGUAGUUUUAUAUUUAAUGAAAAGUAGAAUUCUGAAGAAGCGAAAAUAAAUAUAAAAAGGGAUAAUUGGUGUUCUGAGUGAAUCAUUAUUAAACACAAAAUUAGUAUUACAAACAAAAUUGCAAUUAUCAAAAUGACAGUAUGCUCCACAGAUAGAUGAUUAUCUAAUCAGUACUUAUAAUUAGCCUAAAUUUAAUAGGAAUAGUACAGAAUUAAACUUUCUUUUUUAAAAAAAGGGUCAUUAAACUGAAUCAUAAGAACAGGAUAGAGAGUAUUUGUAAUCAAAGAAACAUAGAGAGAAUUCAAAGUAAUGCCCCCAGAUGAUAGCCCUGAACAAUAAAUAUUACUUAGAAAAACAAACUGCCAAGAGAAAUUAGUCAAUAAAAUUUAGAUUGAAUCACGAUAUUUAUAAACGAGUAGAUAAAUAUAUCUUUUUUAUUAAAAAAUAAUAUUGCAUAAUUCAUCUUAAUUUAUUUCAACUUUUACUCAUAAAAUGUGAUAUAUAAUAUAUUUAUAAAAUUAUUAAUAUUUUGAUAUUACUCUCUUAAUUAAUAAAUAAUUCCAUAAAAACAUCAUACACCAUAUUAUAUAAACAAUAGUUGGGACAAAUCAAAAUGAAAUGUUUAGCAUUUUUCUAGUUAAAACCUAUUCUACAAUUCAAACCAAAAAUAGCAGUCCAAGAAAGCAUAUCUUUCACUAAUAAUCCAAACAAAUCGCUAAUUCUAAACAACCACGUUUUGGUUAAAAGAUUAUUAAUUUAGUUUGUCUAAUAAUUCGAUCCUGAAUUUGCUGAGCCGCAGUAGGAUCUCGCUCGUAUAUACAAAUCCUGAAGAAGAUCACUAUAAAUUUCUGAUCCAAUAAUGAAACUUUGAAGUCCAUAAGUAGGUUUAGGAGAAAUUUAAAGGCAGAUUCAGUUUUAAUAUUAAAUUAUAAAUAAUAUCAAUUAUACAGUAAUAUAUAACAUUAUUUACUGAUUAUUACACUUAUAUCAGUUGAAUUCUAGCCAUAAAUAAUGAAUGGUAUGGAUAGUAGUACUUAAAAAGAAUAAUCUCCAUAUAUAUAUAAAUGCAUGGAAUUUAAUAACUUUCACACCUAUGAAAUUAUCCCACCUAAAACAGAAAACCUUAGUAUUAAAUUGAGAAUAAUGCAGAAAUAUAAAUAUUUGAAAUAAUUACAAAUAAUGCAGAAAUACAAGGACCGCAGGAAAACAGAGGCCACACACUCUUGGCUGGAAUGAUUUUCCUAUUUUUGCAUGCUCACCCAUUACUCUACUCUAUCGCAUUAUUAUUGUUCAAAACUUCACAACUUAACAAAUAUACUUCCAACACAUCACAUGCGUGACCCAUUAAUUAUUACAUGUGAACGUAAAAUGAGAAGUGGUGACAACAGCAGUGAUGUCACACUUUCUGAUAUUACUACAAUUCUUGGAUGACUUACCUUAAUUCCUUUCUGGUGCAUGUUGCAGUAAUUUAUUAGAAAUACAUAAGACCUUUUUUUUCUUCCUAUCUCUUUGUUUCAUUGUAGAAUAGUCCGAGACAACGAUAAUAUCUUACACUUAAUUUGUCUGUAAAUAUAUAUACACUUGACUUUACAUGCUAUAGUAUUAUUAACUAGUCACCUAGACAGAUUUGAAGUAGAUAAUAUUUAUCGAUAAAUUACUUUCUAGAUUUCUAUUUUAUGGUUACAUACAUCAAAAUUUCUGCAAAACAAGUGGAGAAUAGCCUAAUUUGGGGAUUCAAAGAAACUUUGAUGGCUUCUUUUUCUACUCGAAAUUAUACUAAAAAUAAUUCAUAAACAUGAAUGAUCCAAGGGUGGAGAGCAAGACUCUUAGCCAGUUUGUCAAAAAUUUUAACUCGAUGGGACCCAAUAGAUCUAAUUGGUUCGUAAGAGAGCCAAAUGUAUUCAACUUCACUACAUAGUGUACUAAUCUAUAGUAAAGGACAGGUGCAGUAUGACAUGGGUGGUGACGACAUAGUCCCACCGUCCACCCAUGCAAUAUUAUAAAAGGCAGAGCAAAGCUUCAAGUUUUGCACCAUCAACUGAACCCCAAAUAUGUCUUCUAAAUACUUGCUAGUGUUGUUCCUCCUCGGAGCAUUAGUGCUUCUCUUCACAACCCCCUCAUAUGCUGAUCAUCAUGAGCCCCUUAGAAAUAAAGGAGAGAAACCACCUCCAAAACAUAAACCACCACAUGUUCAUCUUCUAGCUGAAAAUAUAGAAGAUUUUCAUGGACAUGCAAAAGGUAAAAGAGACAAGCCACCACCUAAACAUAAACCACCACAUGGACAUCUUUUAGCUGAGGAAGUAGAUGAUUAUUCUACAUCUCCGGGAUGGAAACUACAUAAUCCUCCAUCAGAGCAUAAACCACCGCAUAAGCCUCCACAUGAGCAAAAGCCACUAAAUAGACGUCUUUUACAAGUAGAUAUUGAGGAUGCACAUAAAGAAAAGGGAGAGAAGCCACCACAUGGACAUCUUUUGGCCGAGGAAGUUAUGGAGGACUCGCCUAAGAAAAAGGGAGAGAAGCCACCACCAAAGCACAAGCCACCACAUGGACAUCUUUUGGCCGAGGAAGAGGUCGAGGACUCACACAAAGGGAAGGGAGAGAAGCCACCACCAAAGCACAAGCCACCACAUGGACAUCUUUUGGCCGAGGAAGAAGUUGAGGACUCACACAAGGGAAAGGGAGAGAAGCCACCACCAAAACACAAGCCCCCGCAUGGACAUCUUUUAGCUGAAGAAAAAGUUGAGGACUCACACAAGGGAAAAGGAGAGAAGCCACCACCAAAACACAAGCCCCCGCAUGGACACCUUUUAGCUGAAGAAGAAGUUGAUGAUUCGCACAAGGGAGAGGGAGAAAAGCCACCACCAAAACACAAGCCACCUCACGGGCACUUAUUAGUUGAAGAGGUUGAAGACUCACACAAGGGGAAAGGAGAAAAACCACCGCCCAAGCACAAACCACCUCAUGGACACCUUUUAACUGAAGAGAUCAACGACUCUUACAAAGGAAAGGGAGAGAAGCCACCUCACAAGCCUCCCCACAAACCCCCAUCAGCCGACUAAGUACCUUAGGCUAAUUUCGCUAAAUGCUUAGAAAUAAGAAACAGAAGUCUACUCUUCUGUUGGUUUCUGUAUCUGCAUUUUCACUGAAUUAGUAUUUGUACUUUGGCUUGUAUUAUAUGAAUACUACCCUCUAGUUGGCUGUUUUAUGUAGAUUAUGGUUUUAUGUUCUAGUGCUGUGUGUAUUAUUUCAGUUGAUUUAACUUUUAUUUGCAAACUAUACAGCAAUACAUGCACUUACUCCUAGUACGUAGUUCUGCCACAUGCAUAUAUUUGGUGGUAGGAUAUUGCCAACGACAACAACGUUUAAUUACUUUAACUUAAAUCAAAUAUGAAAUGAUUCUCUUAAUUAAAACUAAAUUUUUUUUAUACCCUAAUUUAACCCUUAUUUAUUAAUUAUAUUUAUUAAAUCUCUUAUUAGUUAAAGUAUAUAUAAUAAAACUAGGUAAGAAUGUGUGAGAUUUCAAAUUUCUUCAUAUCUGUCACUGGUUAUUUCAUGUCUCUGUUUCUGCUUGCUGCCUAUGUUGCAACAUUCAUUUGGCUUCUUAUUCCUAGUCAAUUACUUAUUUGCCUCUCGAUUUUGACUAGGUCGAUAGUAAGCUUAAAGUUUAAUUUCAAACAGUUUCAUAUUUAAAGAAAAGUAGUAUUUUGAAGAAGCGGAAAUAAACACAAAAAAAAGAUAGUUGGUGCAAUGAGUAAAUCAUUUUCAAAUAUAAAAUUAUUAUUACAAGCAAAAUUGGAAUUAUUAGAAUGACAGUAUGCUCCAAAGAUAAGAGUAUAAUAUGAAUAGUACAAAAUUAGCCUUUUUCUUUAAACAAAAUAAUUCAGUAAACUGAUCAUAAGAACGUAAUAAAGAGUAAAAUUCUAUCCUACAUUUGUAUUUCAAAAGUAAAAAAUAUUAAUUUUUAAAUACAUUUGGUUCUCAGUGAUUGACAAGAUAAAAUCUUAUUUAACUUUCUCCUUAUAGAGUAGGAAUUCCAGAUACAUAUUAUCUUACCAAGGGUUUGAUAAUGACAUUUUAAUUACAGCACCACUAUAGACAAGUAGCCAUUGUUAAUGGAGGUUAUCAUUCCAAUUUCCCUCUUGUGAAGUUAUUAAUUUGUGGAGAUUAUAAAGGACUCCAAUCUUUAACCCUUCCAAUGAGUUAAAAAAAUAUAAAAUAUUUCUUAUCAAAUUGCACCAUCAACAACUCAUACGAAUGCCACCUUUAUGGCCGCAAAACAGAGUGCUUGAUAACCAAAUUUAAGAUAAAUCUCAAUUCGACGGUAAGUGCAUCACUUAGAUUUGUUACAUCCUAAUAAUAUAUACUAAAUUUAUAAAUAAUUAAUAUAUAUUUUAUUAAUUUAAAUAAUAAAAUAUAUAAAUUAUAUAUAUAUCAACUGCCAGUGGUACCUUUUUUAAACUAAAGGAAGCUAUUAGUGGAGACAAGCUUUAGAAGUGAACGCCACUCAUCUGCUAAACUACAAAAGAUGCCACCACACCUCUGACGUCAAAUGAUAUGCAUGUGCUCUAGUCACUGUUGAAACUAAGAAAUUAUUAACCGUGAGCCUAAUAUCCAAAGAACCUUUGGAUCCAAUCAAUUGAUUUUAGAUAAACUAUGGUGAAAAUAUAUCAUUUUUCGUUACUCUUCAGCUUUCCACCAAAUUCAGCCCCCCAAAAGUUCAAGAAAAAAAAUUAAUACCAAGGAUAAUAUAAAUUCCAAGAGUUUAGGCGAAUAAUUUUUUUUCUGAUCAGCAUUUUGCAAUUAGUUGAAAAUUGGAACUUGCCAGAAGCUGUGCAGCUCAAUUUUAUCAGGCACAUACGAAAACACACUUCCUAUUUCUCUGAAAGUUUGUCUUGCAGCAGUUUAAGAUGAACAAAAGCAAGUUGGUUUUCUGCUUGUAAUUUACAACUCAAUUAGAUUAUAGAAGAAAUUAAAACAGUAAUAUGUAAUUCUUUGGGGCAUAACCUUUAAUACUACUGAUAAGUAUAACGGAUACGUUCCUAAAUUAUAUUGUACUAAAUUUACAACCGCAAGGAGAUCCAAGUUGGAGAGUUAAUAAUCACACUAGGUUAGGAGAAAGAGCAAUAACUUGGCCAUAUUGUCAAAGUUUUCAACUAGUUGGAACCCGGUGGAUCUUCUUCUCUAAACCGGUGGAUCUUCUUCUCUAACAUGAAAUUUUAAACAGCCAACUUGACUGCAUAGGGUACUAGGUUAGUAAAGACAAGAAAGUAUGACAUGAACAAAAACCACUUAAUAGACGUCUUUUACAAGUAGAUAUUGAGGAUGCACAUAAAGGAAAGGGAGAGAAGCCACCGCAUGGACAUCUUUUGGCCGAGGAAGUUAUGGAGGACUCGUAUAAGAACAAGAGAGAGAAGCCACCACAUGGACAUCUUUUGGCCGAGGAAUAAGUGGAGGAUUCACGCAAAGGAAACGGAGAGAAACCACCACCAAAACACAAACCUCCACAUGGACAUCUUUUAGCUGA
Molecule: long non-coding RNA, 7256 nt
Filed under: Ricinus communis (castor bean)
Lineage: Eukaryota; Viridiplantae; Streptophyta; Magnoliopsida; Malpighiales; Euphorbiaceae
Description: long non-coding RNA (RCOM_LNC002739)
Source: RNAcentral